GUGGGGAAUCUUAGACAAUGGGGGAAACCCUGAUCUAGCCAUGCCGCGUGAUCGAUGAAGGCCUUAGGGUUGUAAAGAUCUUUCAGCUGGGAAGAUAAUGACGGUACCAGCAGAAGAAGCCCCGGCUAACUCCGUGCCAGCAGCCGCGGUAAUACGGAGGGGGCUAGCGUUGUUCGGAAUUACUGGACGUAAAGCGCACGUAGGCGGAUUGGAAAGUUGGGGGUGAAAUCCCGGGGCUCAACCCCGGAACUGCCUUCAAAACUAUCAGUCUGGAGUUCGAGAGAGGUGAGUGGAAUUCCGAGUGUAGAGGUGAAAUUCGUAGAUAUUCGGAGGAACACCAGUGGCGAAGGCGGCUCACUGGCUCGAUACUGACGCUGAGGUGCGAAAGCGUGGGGAGCAAACAGGAUUAGAUACCCUAGUAGUCC
RNAcentral lists this ribosomal RNA (425 nucleotides) under uncultured bacterium. Its description in RNAcentral is "partial 16S ribosomal RNA". It matches the Rfam family "Bacterial small subunit ribosomal RNA", at positions 354 to 796 of the family's 1533-position model. The record is from RNAcentral.